RNAcentral lists this ribosomal RNA (262 nucleotides) under uncultured bacterium. Its description in RNAcentral is "partial 16S ribosomal RNA". It matches the Rfam family "Bacterial small subunit ribosomal RNA", at positions 524 to 782 of the family's 1533-position model. The record is from RNAcentral.
UACGUAGGGGGCAAGCGUUGUCCGGAAUCAUUGGGCGUAAAGCGCGUGUAGGCGGCCAGAUAAGUCCGUUCUGAAAGCCCGGGGCUCAACCCCGGGAGGCGGAUGGAUACUGUUUGGCUCGAGUCCGGAAGAGGCGAGUGGAAUUCCCGGUGUAGCGGUGAAAUGCGCAGAUAUCGGGAGGAACACCAAUGGCGAAGGCAGCUCGCUGGGACGGUACUGACGCUGAGGCGCGAAAAGCUAGGGGGAGCAAACGGGGAUUAGA